UACGUAGGGGGCAAGCGUUAUCCGGAUUUACUGGGUGUAAAGGGAGCGUAGACGGCAUGGCAAGCCAGAUGUGAAAUACCGGGGCUCAACCCCGGGACUGCAUUUGGAACUGUUAAGCUGGAGUGUCGGAGAGGCAGGCGGAAUUCCUAGUGUAGCGGUGAAAUGCGUAGAUAUUAGGAGGAACACCAGUGGCGAAGGCGACCUGCUAGAACAUAACUGACGCUGAUGCGCGAAAGCGUGGGGAGCAAACAGG
Molecule: ribosomal RNA, 253 nt
Filed under: uncultured Blautia sp.
Lineage: Bacteria; Bacillati; Bacillota; Clostridia; Lachnospirales; Lachnospiraceae
Description: partial 16S ribosomal RNA
Rfam family: Bacterial small subunit ribosomal RNA
Source: RNAcentral